This is a long non-coding RNA of Acyrthosiphon pisum (pea aphid), 441 nucleotides long. RefSeq lists it as uncharacterized. Lineage: Eukaryota; Metazoa; Arthropoda; Insecta; Hemiptera; Aphididae. The transcript has 3 exons. The record is from RefSeq and is a predicted model, not a curated record.
AUCACUGGUGUACCCAUGACAUAAACAAGCGAAUAACAUGGUAUGAAGGAACUUUUUGAUGGCCAGAUCCUUCACAUGACGUAGCAUACCUAGGUACCUAUCAUAGAUGUCUACCAGUAGUAGAGAUGAAAUGUCUUGGAAUAAAUGAAGAGUUGACACCACUUGGUCGUAUUUUAGCAAAAUUACCAAUUGAGCCUCAGAUUAGUUGCAUAAUGGUGUUGGGAAAUAUACCAUAGGAUAACAUUAAAAAUGGAUGUAACAGCUCCUUCUGCAAUUGAAGCUUUAAGACCAGCUAUUGAAAAUUUAAUUGUACAUUCGUCAGAAGAACCAGAAUCUAUUGUAAUGUUAAGUGAAACAGAUAUUAAACUUAUAAAUGUUCUAAAAGAAAUAUAUAAUUUUAACUGUGGUAGAUACAAUAUUUCUCCAAUAUCAUUUGUUCAA